AAUGAUACCCGGGUAGUCCACGCCGUAAACGAUGAGUGCUAGGUGUUAGGGGGUCCAACCCUUAGUGCCGAAGUUAACACAUUAAGCACUCCGCCUGGGGAGUACGGUCGCAAGACUGAAACUCAAAGGAAUUGACGGGGGCCCGCACAAGCGGUGGAGCAUGUGGUUUAAUUCGAAGCAACGCGAAGAACCUUACCAGGGCUUGACAUCCCUCUGACCGUUCUAGAGAUAGAGCUUCCCUUCGGGGCAGAGGUGACAGGUGGUGCAUGGUUGUCGUCAGCUCGUGUCGUGAGAUGUUGGGUUAAGUCCCGCAACGAGCGCAACCCUUGUCCUUAGUUGCCAGCAUUCAGUUGGGCACUCUAGGGAGACUGCCGGUGACAAACCGGAGGAAGGUGGGGAUGACGUCAAAUCAUCAUGCCCCUUAUGUCCUGGGCUACACACGUGCUACAAUGGCUGGUACAAAGGGUAGCGAAGCAGUGAUGUGGAGCCAAUCCCAAAAAGCCAGUCACAGUUCGGAUUGUAGGCUGC
This 528-nucleotide ribosomal RNA is filed under the name uncultured bacterium. RNAcentral's name for it is "bacterial SSU rRNA". It matches the Rfam family "Bacterial small subunit ribosomal RNA", at positions 778 to 1308 of the family's 1533-position model. The record is from RNAcentral.